RNAcentral lists this ribosomal RNA (253 nucleotides) under uncultured bacterium. Its description in RNAcentral is "partial 16S ribosomal RNA". It matches the Rfam family "Bacterial small subunit ribosomal RNA", at positions 524 to 776 of the family's 1533-position model. The record is from RNAcentral.
UACGUAGGGGGCGAGCGUUGUCCGGAAUCAUUGGGCGUAAAGCGCACGUAGGCGGAUUGUUAAGUCAGGGGUGAAAUCCUGGAGCUCAACUCCAGAACUGCCUUUGAUACUGGGGAUCUCGAGUCCGGGAGAGGUGAGUGGAACUGCGAGUGUAGAGGUGAAAUUCGUAGAUAUUCGCAAGAACACCAGUGGCGAAGGCGGCUCACUGGCCCGGAACUGACGCUGAGGUGCGAAAGCGUGGGGAGCAAACAGG